This 87-nucleotide transfer RNA is filed under the name Candidatus Zixiibacteriota bacterium. RNAcentral describes it as "tRNA-Leu". It matches the Rfam family "tRNA". From Rfam's summary of the family: Transfer RNA (tRNA) molecules are approximately 80 nucleotides in length. Their secondary structure includes four short double-helical elements and three loops (D, anti-codon, and T loops). Lineage: Bacteria; Pseudomonadati; Candidatus Zixiibacteriota. RNAcentral also lists the same sequence under 1 other name. The record is from RNAcentral.
GCCGAGGUGGCGGAACUGGCAGACGCAGCGGACUUAAAAUCCGCUGGCCCUACUCGGGCCGUGCGGGUUCGAGCCCCGCCCUCGGCA